CCUACGGGUGGCUGCAGUGGGGGAUAUUGGACAAUGGGGGGAACCCUGAUCCAGCGACGCCGCGUGAGUGAAGAAGUAUUUCGGUAUGUAAAGCUCUGUCAGCAGGGAAGAAAGAAAUGACGGUACCUGACCAAGAAGCACCGGCUAACUACGUGCCAGCAGCCGAGGUAAUACGUAGGGGGCAAGCGUUAUCAGGAAUUACUGGGGGUAAAGGGAGCGGAGACGGGUCAGUAAGUCUGGAGUGGAGGGCCGGGGCCCAACCCCGGGACUGCUCUGGAAAUAAUUGAACUUGAGUGCAGGAGAGGUAAGCGGAAUUCCUAGUGUAGCGGUGAAAUGCGUAGAUAUUAGGAGGAACACCAGUGGCGAAGGCGGCUUACUGGACUGUAACUGACGUUGAGGCUCGAAAGCGUGGGGAGCAAACAGGAUUAGAUACCCCUGUAGUC
Molecule: ribosomal RNA, 443 nt
Filed under: uncultured bacterium
Lineage: Bacteria
Description: partial 16S ribosomal RNA
Rfam family: Bacterial small subunit ribosomal RNA
Source: RNAcentral